This 263-nucleotide unclassified non-coding RNA is filed under the name soil metagenome. RNAcentral's name for it is "partial contains small subunit ribosomal RNA, internal transcribed spacer 1, and 5.8S ribosomal RNA". The record is from RNAcentral.
UUUCCGUAGGUGAACCUGCGGAAGGAUCAUUACCGAACCGUCGACACGAGUUGUUGCUGGCCCCUCUGACGGGGGGCAUGUGCACGCUCUGUUUACACAUCCACUCACACCUGUGCACCCUCUGUGGUUCUAUGGCUCGAGGGGCCUCGUCCCUCUACCGUGGUUCUACGUUUUUACACACACCCUGUAGUGAAGUCUUAUGGAAUGUGUGCCGCGUUUAACGCAAUGAAAUACAACUUUCAGCAACGGAUCUCUUGGCUCUC